RNAcentral lists this ribosomal RNA (253 nucleotides) under uncultured bacterium. RNAcentral describes it as "partial 16S ribosomal RNA". It matches the Rfam family "Bacterial small subunit ribosomal RNA", at positions 524 to 776 of the family's 1533-position model. The record is from RNAcentral.
UACAGAGGUCUCAAGCGUUGUUCGGAAUUACUGGGCGUAAAGGGCUCGUAGGCGGCCAACUAAGUCAGACGUGAAAUCCCUCGGCUUAACCGGGGAACGGCGUCUGAUACUGGAUGGCUUGAGUUCGGGAGAGGGAUGCGGAAUUCCAGGUGUAGCGGUGAAAUGCGUAGAUAUCUGGAGGAACACCGGUGGCGAAGGCGGCAUCCUGGACCGAGACUGACGCUGAGGAGCGAAAGCCAGGGGAGCAAACGGG